RNAcentral lists this ribosomal RNA (508 nucleotides) under uncultured bacterium. RNAcentral's name for it is "partial 16S ribosomal RNA". It matches the Rfam family "Bacterial small subunit ribosomal RNA", at positions 30 to 523 of the family's 1533-position model. The record is from RNAcentral.
AUUGAACGCUGGCGGCAUGCCUUACACAUGCAAGUCGAACGGCAGCGGGGGAGAAGCUUGCUUUUCCUGCCGGCGAGUGGCGAACGGGUGAGUAAUACAUCGGAACGUGCCCUGUAGUGGGGGAUAACUAGUCGAAAGAUUAGCUAAUACCGCAUACGACCUGAGGGUGAAAGUGGGGGACCGCAAGGCCUCAUGCUAUAGGAGCGGCCGAUGUCUGAUUAGCUAGUUGAUGGGGUAAAGGCCUACCAAGGCGACGAUCAGUAGCUGGUCUGAGAGGACGAUGAGCCACACGGGGACUGAGACACGGCCCAGACUCCUACGGGAGGCAGCAGUGGGGAAUUUUGGACAAUGGGCGAAAGCCUGAUCCAGCAAUGCCGCGUGUGUGAAGAAGGCCUUCGGGUUGUAAAGCACUUUUGUCCGGAAAGAAAUGGCUCUGGUUAAUACCUGGGGUCGAUGACGGUACCGGAAGAAUAAGGACCGGCUAACUACGUGCCAGCAGCCGCCGUAA